UAGGGAUGCUCUGGUUAUAUGC
RNAcentral lists this non-coding RNA (22 nucleotides) under Arabidopsis thaliana (thale cress). Lineage: Eukaryota; Viridiplantae; Streptophyta; Magnoliopsida; Brassicales; Brassicaceae. The record is from RNAcentral.